CAUCCAAGGACAAUUUCUUGUU
This 22-nucleotide microRNA is filed under the name Echinops telfairi (small Madagascar hedgehog). Lineage: Eukaryota; Metazoa; Chordata; Mammalia; Afrosoricida; Tenrecidae. The record is from RNAcentral.